UGGCACAAUAGAUGUGUGGGAGAAAAAACCCCCGCAUAAGUCGAAGGUGUGACGCGGACCGAAAAAGAGUAGGGAAGCUGUUAAGCAAGCCGUCAAGAAAAGCUGCUAUUGUUUCAUUAUGGCCCGUACCGUAAACCGACACAGGUGGAUGGGGAGAGAAUCCUAAGGCCGGCGGAAGAAGUAUUGUUAAGGAACUCGGCAAAAUGACCCCGUAACUUCGGGAGAAGGGGUGCCUGCGAGAGCAGGCCGCAGAGAAGAGGCCCAAGCAACUGUUUAGCAAAAACACAGGUCUAUGCAAAACCGAAAGGUGAGGUAUAUGGGCUGACGCCUGCCCGGCGCUGGGAGGUUAAGGGGAGUGGUCAGGAAACGAAGCCACGAACUUAAGCCCCAGUAAACGGCGGCCGUAACUAUAACGGUCCUAAGGUAGCGAAAUUCCUUGUCGGGUAAGUUCCGACCCGCACGAAAGGCGUAAUGAUUUGGGCGCUGUCUCGACAAUACAUCCGGUGAAAUUGAAGUGCCAGUGAAGAUGCUGGCUACCUGCGCCAGGACGGAAAGACCCCAUGGAGCUUUACUCCAGCUUGAUACUGGGACCCGGUAUUGCAUGUACAGGAUAGGUGGGAGGCUAGGAAAUGUGGACGCCAGUCUGCAUGGAGCCGCCGUUGGGAUACCACCCUUGUGGUGCUGGGUUUCUAACCAGAGGCCGUGAACCGGUCUGGGGACAAUGUCAGGUGGGGAGUUUGACUGGGGCGGUCGCCUCCGAAAGGGUAUCGGAGGCGCCCAAAGGUUCCCUCAGAAUGGUUGGAAACCAUUCGAAGAGUGCAAAGGCAGAAGGGAGCUUGACUGCGACACCGACGGGUGGAGCAGGUACGAAAGUAGGGCUUAGUGAUCCGGUGGAAUUUAAGUGGGAAUGCCAUCGCUCAACGGAUAAAAGCUACCCUGGGAUAACAGGCUGAUCACUCCCAAGAGUUCACAUCGACGGAGUGGUUUGGCACCUCGAUGUCGGCUCAUCGCAUCCUGGGGCUGAAGUCGGUCCCAAAGGUUGGGCUGUUCGCCCAUUAAAGCGGUACGCGAGCUGGGUUCAGAACGUCGUGAGACAGUUCGGUCCCUAUCCGGCGUGGGCGUAGGAUAUCUGAGAGGAGCUGUCCUUAGUACGAGAGGACCGGGAUGGACUGACCUCUGGUGUACCGGUUGGCGAUCAACGCCACGGCCGGGUAGCCAUGUCGGGACGGGAUAAACGCUGAAGGCAUCUAAGCGUGAAGCCCCCCUCAAGAUGAGAUAUCCCAUCGUAAGAGUAAGACCCCUUGAAGACGACGAGGUUGAUAGGGCAGGGGUGGAAGUGCUGUAAAGCAUGGAGCUGACUGCUACUAAUUGGUCGAGG
RNAcentral lists this ribosomal RNA (1378 nucleotides) under metagenome. RNAcentral describes it as "bacterial LSU rRNA". It matches the Rfam family "Bacterial large subunit ribosomal RNA", at positions 1514 to 2912 of the family's 2925-position model. The record is from RNAcentral.